Molecule: unclassified non-coding RNA, 264 nt
Filed under: Hevea brasiliensis (rubber tree)
Lineage: Eukaryota; Viridiplantae; Streptophyta; Magnoliopsida; Malpighiales; Euphorbiaceae
Source: RNAcentral
AGCACAUCAAACUUUGAUUGGCUUUGGCUUUUGCCUCUCCUUCACUCUUACAAAAAGCCAUGGUAGGCAUAUGCAUAAUACAUCACAGAAGACUUAACCCCUGUAUAUUUUUUGCUACACAAGUCCAAAACUAAGAGGGGUUUCUUUUCUUUUCUUUUUAGGAUUAUUUUUUAAACAAGUAGAGUAGUUGCUGCUGCUUCCCCCCCCUCCUAUUAACCUAUUUUUUGACUGCUGUUCUCUUCUUCUACUUAUGGAACUAACUGU